UGUCUCCUCCACCCUCUGAAAAGGUGGAUUUGCCCCGAACCGCAAGGCUCGGGGCAUUUUUU
RNAcentral lists this non-coding RNA (62 nucleotides) under Limnohabitans sp. T6-5. Its description in RNAcentral is "Betaproteobacteria toxic small RNA". It matches the Rfam family "Betaproteobacteria toxic small RNA". From Rfam's summary of the family: Overexpression in amino aid rich medium attenuates growth, suggesting role in repressing amino acid intake and metabolism. Lineage: Bacteria; Pseudomonadati; Pseudomonadota; Betaproteobacteria; Burkholderiales; Comamonadaceae. The record is from Rfam by way of RNAcentral.